Molecule: ribosomal RNA, 171 nt
Filed under: Clostridioides difficile
Lineage: Bacteria; Bacillati; Bacillota; Clostridia; Peptostreptococcales; Peptostreptococcaceae
Description: partial 16S ribosomal RNA
Rfam family: Bacterial small subunit ribosomal RNA
Source: RNAcentral
UCCCGGGUCUUGUACACACCGCCCGUCACACCACGGGAGUUGGAGACGCCCGAAGCCGAUUAUCUAACCUUUUGGAAGAAGUCGUCGAAGGUGGAAUCAAUAACUGGGGUGAAGUCGUAACAAGGUAGCCGUAUCGGAAGGUGCGGCUGGAUCACCUCCUUUCUAAGGAGA